UUGAACGUUGGCGGCGUGGAUUAGGCAUGCAAGUCGAGCGAGGCCGGCCCGCAAGGGUCGAGUCGAGCGGCGAAAGGGGCAGUAAGGCGUGGAUAACCUACCCUGGGGACUGGGAUAGCGGCCCUAACGGGCCGGUAAUACCGGGCGACGUGGCGAGGGGGCAUCUCCUUGUCACCAAAUGAGUUUCGCCCUGGGAGGGGUUCACGUGGUAUUAGCUAGUUGGUGAGGUAAUGGCUCACCAAGGCUUAGAUGCCUAGCGGGUGGGAGAGCACGACCCGCGCCACUGGCACUGAGACACUGGCCAGACACCUACGGGGGGCUGCAGUCGAGGAUCUUCGGCAAUGGGCGCAAGCCUGACCGAGCGACGCCGCGUGUGCGAUGAAGGCCUUCGGGUUGUAAAGCACUGUCGAGGGGGAGGAAGCCGCAAGGUUGACCUAUCCCUGGAGGAAGGACGGGCUAAGUUCGU
Molecule: ribosomal RNA, 466 nt
Filed under: uncultured bacterium
Lineage: Bacteria
Description: bacterial SSU rRNA
Rfam family: Bacterial small subunit ribosomal RNA
Source: RNAcentral